ACUCCUACGGGAGGCAGCAGUGGGGAAUAUUGCACAAUGGACGCAAGUCUGAUGCAGCAACGCCGCGUGGAGGAUGACGCAUUUCGGUGUGUAAACUCCUUUUAUAGGGGAAGAUAAUGACGGUACCCUAUGAAUAAGCACCGGCUAACUCCGUGCCAGCAGCCGCGGUAAUACGGAGGGUGCAAGCGU
This 189-nucleotide ribosomal RNA is filed under the name uncultured bacterium. RNAcentral's name for it is "partial 16S ribosomal RNA". It matches the Rfam family "Bacterial small subunit ribosomal RNA", at positions 335 to 541 of the family's 1533-position model. The record is from RNAcentral.